RNAcentral lists this microRNA (21 nucleotides) under Oreochromis niloticus (Nile tilapia). RNAcentral describes it as "oni-miR-10814". Lineage: Eukaryota; Metazoa; Chordata; Actinopteri; Cichliformes; Cichlidae. The record is from miRBase by way of RNAcentral.
UAUAGUUCAGAGACAGUGCUC